This 345-nucleotide long non-coding RNA is filed under the name Anas zonorhyncha (Eastern spot-billed duck). RNAcentral describes it as "lncRNA (ENSAZOG00000008888.1)". The record is from RNAcentral. Lineage: Eukaryota; Metazoa; Chordata; Aves; Anseriformes; Anatidae.
AUGGAAGGUGCUGGAAGCUGGCCGGGCUCUGUGGUGAGGCAGUGCCGUGUGCACGGCCCUCACAGGGACGAGACGGAGGGCAAGGCGCUGUUCUCCGUGAGGUGCUCUUCAGGACAUGGGCAUGAAGAAAGUCCUUCUGAGCUGCUGGUCUCACAGAAAUCUGAAUUUUCCAGCUCAUAUUCCAUGAAGAGCUUUGAUUAAAAGAAAAAGAUACAACGUGCACCACAAAGUAAGUAACUGAUCUUUUUUCCCAUCAUGUACUACAGAUGUACCACAUCUUUUAAAAGUUAUAAUUAACUGUGUUUUUAGCUAGCUGGUUAGAUAUUCUUUUUAGUUGCUACUGUG